GGUCUUAUAUUCAUUCAAAUGAUAUGAAAUUGCAAAUUUUAAGGAGUAAAUAAAAUAUUUACUAAGGCUU
Molecule: transfer RNA, 70 nt
Filed under: Acherontia lachesis
Lineage: Eukaryota; Metazoa; Arthropoda; Insecta; Lepidoptera; Sphingidae
Description: tRNA-Cys
Source: RNAcentral